ACAACAACAGCAGGAGGAGAGGAAAUAGUACCGAGAACAAACCCUUCAAGCCCAUAUCCUUCAAGAAUCAACAAAAGUUGAUGUUUCCAUAACAGAAAGUUAUGUGAGGACAGUUUGAUGGUGUCAUGCUUGGAGAAAUAAUGGACUGUCGAUGCACAAACCAUGUCAUUUCCCUGUGAAUGUGCAGCCUCCCUAGUGUUGGAGGAGUGUCGAGGUGUCUCAGGUACUU
RNAcentral lists this long non-coding RNA (229 nucleotides) under Gossypium barbadense (sea-island cotton). RNAcentral's name for it is "long non-coding RNA (GBAR_LNC022674)". The record is from RNAcentral. Lineage: Eukaryota; Viridiplantae; Streptophyta; Magnoliopsida; Malvales; Malvaceae.